UGGAACACGGGCCUCGACUGUUUACCAAAAACAUAGCCCUCGGCUAAUAUGAAAAUAGAUGUAUAGAGGGUGAUGCCUGCCCAAUGGUUGUAUCUAAAAGCGGUUGAUAAAAGUUGACCUCGUAAGGACAAUUGAAUGGCCGCGGUAACACUGACCGUGAUAAUGUAGCGUAAUCAAUAGCCAAUUAAUUGUUGGCCAGUAUGAAUGGCGCCACGAAGGCCCCACUGUCUUAAGGAAAUUCCCAGUGAAAUUGAAUUCGUAGUGAAGAUGCUACGUCCAAUUUGUUAGACGAAAAGACCCCGUUGAGCUUUACUGGAGCACUUACAUGGCCCCGGCCUUCCCAUGCCUGGGAACCGGCCGAAUUUAAAUGGGCGGCUUAGAUUAUGUGGCAGCCCCCCGCUGGGGCAAAUGAAACACCACUCCCCCAUGUCAAAGGGGCUAACCCCCCCCCUUGGGGGGACAGUGUAAGUAGGACAGUUUGGUUGGGGCGACCACCUUUUAAAAAGUAACGAAGGUGCGCUUAAGGUGCGCAAUUAAUGACUGAAGCCUGACUGCGAGGGGGACACCCCGAGCAGACACCCCAAAGCCCGCCCGAAAGGCGGCGGUGGGGUGGGCCAUAGUGACCCGUUAAUUUAGAGUGGAAUAGUUAACGAUCAACGAAUAAAAG
RNAcentral lists this ribosomal RNA (667 nucleotides) under Zoanthus sansibaricus. RNAcentral's name for it is "partial 16S ribosomal RNA". It matches the Rfam family "Bacterial large subunit ribosomal RNA", at positions 1783 to 2462 of the family's 2925-position model. The record is from RNAcentral. Lineage: Eukaryota; Metazoa; Cnidaria; Anthozoa; Zoantharia; Zoanthidae.